UGGGGUAUAUAAAAUUAUCAACUUCUUGAAUCAAAUUCUAUGUUAACAAUUUAUAUAAUAAUUGCCCGAGUAAGAAAUGUUUUUCAACGUUGAAUUGAUAAAAUCUUAUCUAAAGCUAAUAAUUGUAAAAGAAAUCGAAUAAAUCAUUUAUAAAAAAAAUAUUAAGUAUACUUUGCAUUUAAAAAUGUAAGUUUUUUUUU
Molecule: long non-coding RNA, 200 nt
Filed under: Solanum tuberosum (potato)
Lineage: Eukaryota; Viridiplantae; Streptophyta; Magnoliopsida; Solanales; Solanaceae
Description: long non-coding RNA (STUB_LNC011879)
Source: RNAcentral